Molecule: long non-coding RNA, 431 nt
Organism: Chelonia mydas (Green sea turtle)
Lineage: Eukaryota; Metazoa; Chordata; Testudines; Cheloniidae
Exons: 3
Source: RefSeq, a predicted model, not a curated record
GGCACGAGGAUAAAUUAAAAGACAUUGAGGAAACCUGUCACUUCCUUGAGGAAGCCUCUCUUCAGGAAGCUCAAAGAAGAACUGCCAGGGAUCUGAGCAGCCUAUUGGGCUCUGAACUACCUUUGUUAUCUAAAGCCGAGAGAGAUGAAAAAGAGCAAGAAGUACGAGUCAUACUGGUGAUCAGGAAGGCACUGGAAAAAAUGGUUCAAUUUAUUAAAAAGAUGCAGCUGGAGGAAGGCCUAUUACAAAGGCAGAUGAAGGAGAAAGCAUGGCAAAGGAGCAAGAACUUUAACACAGAGACAGCACCCAGAUUCAAGCCCAGAAAGGUCAUACUACAUCAUGUUGCUGAAUUUCAGGAACAUAUAAUGAAACAACAGGUCAGUGUGGAGUCUGCAUACAGCAGACUGGAGUAUCUCAGGGACUUGUUGGAC